UGGGGAAUUUUGGACAAUGGGGGCAACCCUGAUCCAGCAAUGCCGCGUGAGUGAAGAAGGCCUUCGGGUUGUAAAGCUCUUUUGUCAGGGAAGAAACGGUAGUAGCGAAUAACUACUACUAAUGACGGUACCUGAAGAAUAAGCACCGGCUAACUACGUGCCAGCAGCCGCGGUAAUACGUAGGGUGCAAGCGUUAAUCGGAAUUACUGGGCGUAAAGCGUGCGCAGGCGGUUGUGUAAGUCAGAUGUGAAAUCCCCGGGCUCAACCUGGGAAUUGCAUUUGAGACUGCACGGCUAGAGUGUGUCAGAGGGGGGUAGAAUUCCACGUGUAGCAGUGAAAUGCGUAGAUAUGUGGAGGAAUACCGAUGGCGAAGGCAGCCCCCUGGGAUAACACUGACGCUCAUGCACGAAAGCGUGGGGAGCAAACAGGAUUAGAUACCCCGGUAGUCCCUGAGCGGGCUGGCAAGGCGCAU
RNAcentral lists this ribosomal RNA (472 nucleotides) under uncultured bacterium. Its description in RNAcentral is "bacterial SSU rRNA". It matches the Rfam family "Bacterial small subunit ribosomal RNA", at positions 355 to 825 of the family's 1533-position model. The record is from RNAcentral.